Molecule: ribosomal RNA, 261 nt
Filed under: uncultured bacterium
Lineage: Bacteria
Description: partial 16S ribosomal RNA
Rfam family: Bacterial small subunit ribosomal RNA
Source: RNAcentral
UACGAAGGGGGCUAGCGUUGUUCGGAAUUACUGGGCGUAAAGGGCGCGCAGGCGGCCCCUCCAAGUCAGGUGUGAAAGCCCCGGGCUCAACCCGGGAAUUGCACUUGAGACUGGGGGGCUUGAGUUCGGGAGAGGAGAGUGGAAUUCCCAGUGUAGAGGUGAAAUUCGUAGAUAUUGGGAAGAACACCGGUGGCGAAGGCGGCUCUCUGGACCGACACCUGACGCUGAAGGCGCGAAAGCGUGGGGGAGCAAAACAGGAUA